UCAAGAUGAGAUAUCCCAUUCGAAAGAAGUAAGACCCCUUGAAGACGACGAGGUAGAUAGGGCAGAGGUGGAAGUGCCGUAAGGCAUGGAGCUGACUGUUACUAAUCGGUCGAGGGCUUGACCUG
This 125-nucleotide ribosomal RNA is filed under the name Fusicatenibacter sp. RNAcentral describes it as "partial 23S ribosomal RNA". It matches the Rfam family "Bacterial large subunit ribosomal RNA", at positions 2799 to 2925 of the family's 2925-position model. Lineage: Bacteria; Bacillati; Bacillota; Clostridia; Lachnospirales; Lachnospiraceae. The record is from RNAcentral.